RNAcentral lists this ribosomal RNA (253 nucleotides) under uncultured bacterium. RNAcentral describes it as "partial 16S ribosomal RNA". It matches the Rfam family "Bacterial small subunit ribosomal RNA", at positions 524 to 776 of the family's 1533-position model. The record is from RNAcentral.
UACAGAGGGGGCAAGCGUUGUUCGGAAUUACUGGGCGUAAAGGGCGCGUAGGCGGCCUUCUAAGUCGAACGUGAAAUCCCCGGGCUCAACCCGGGAACUGCGUCCGAGACUGGGAGGCUAGAAUCCGGGAGAGGGAUGUGGAAUUCCAGGUGUAGCGGUGAAAUGCGCAGAUAUCAGGAAGAACACCCGUGGCGAAAGCGGCUCUCUGGAACGGUACUGACGCUGAGACGCGAAAGCGUGGGGAGCGAACAGG